GAAAUGCGAUAAGUAGUGUGAAUUGCAGAAUUCAGUGAAUCAUCGAAUCUUUGAACGCACAUUGCGCCCCUUGGUAUUCCAUGGGGCAUGCCUGUUCGAGCGUCAUUUGUACCCUCAAGCUAUGCUUGGUGUUGGGUGAUUGUCCACUAGGACUCGCCUCAAAGUCAUUGGCAGCCAGUAUUUUGGUAUAAAGCGCAGCACAUUUUGCGAUUUACUCCAGUAAUAUUAGCAUCCAUUAAGCUCAAUUAUCACUUUUGACCUCGGAUCAGGUAGGGAUACCCGCUGAACUUAA
RNAcentral lists this unclassified non-coding RNA (292 nucleotides) under uncultured Leptospora. RNAcentral's name for it is "sequence contains ITS1". The stretch from base 1 to 105 matches the Rfam family "5.8S ribosomal RNA", at positions 50 to 154 of the family's 154-position model. The record is from RNAcentral. Lineage: Eukaryota; Fungi; Ascomycota; Lecanoromycetes; Micropeltidales; Micropeltidaceae.